Molecule: long non-coding RNA, 1497 nt
Filed under: Homo sapiens (human)
Lineage: Eukaryota; Metazoa; Chordata; Mammalia; Primates; Hominidae
Description: long non-coding RNA NONHSAT117272.2
Source: RNAcentral
AUACAGGUGACCGUAUCCUGAGCCCCGGGCAGAGGCAGGACCGAGCCGCAAUCUGAACAGAAAUCCAGGUCCGACUGAAAGCUGGAGCAAGUAUUGGCGAGGUCCAUGACAGACAUGCGGUCGGGUCUGAGGAGGGAGUUGGAAGUUUAUUAACAAAAGAGAGAAGAGUUCCUGUCCCAGAGGUCGUAACUAUUCUGUCCCAGGACCUAGGAGUAUAUAACCCGAACCCUCCUGCCACGCACGCCUCCUGCCUCUGCGACCAAGGAGCCGAAACGCCCGGAAUUCCCAGACAGCGUCGGGUACUAAAGGACUUGGAACCCUUUCCAGGGGCCGGUGAGAGGAGUUAACCAACUCCGUGGGCUAGAGCGCCAGCUCUGCGCCCGCGGCGGGGCAGCGAGAUAGAGCCGGCUAGAGCGUCAGGCUUUCGCGUUGACGAUUGGCUGUGACGUCAUAAUUAAUUGCGAACCGUGUCUCGGGAGCGUUAGAGAUGGAGACUAACGUCUUCCAAGGGAGAUUGCGUCUCCACUUUCACCCUGGUACUGAGAGGUUGAGCACAAAAUUGGUAACCAAUGCUGCGCUUCCAGCAAAUUUUCCCACCAGCACCCAAUCCUGGGAUAUUUAUUCUCUUUGUCUCACAUCCUACAGGAACGCAGUCGCGGGGUAUAUCCCCCUGAAAACCGUACGUUGCCAAAUAAUGAUUUCUUUGGAUUAGAGAACUACAACUCCCCUGGGUCCUGAGCCGGUAUUUCCCUUUUGCGGCUGCACCGUAGUUAAAAACAAAGCUAAGUGUUCUGGGACGUAUAGUUCUAGCGUUCCUUGGGUCCCGCUGGCGAGCGUGGGCUUUCUGCAGCUCGCAACCGGCCUCGUGCUUUGCGGACGGUUCACUGCGCUUGGAAAGGGAUUGGCCUGGGGUACAUCAUCUAAAGAUCCUAGGAUUGCUGCAGGUCAGCAGUCUCCACUGGAAAAAAAGAUCUUGCAUGUAUUUCAAGUCCUCUGAUGAAUCAUGUGAUCUACUAGACCCUGAAGAUACAGUGAAGAGCAAAAGAACACAGAUGAAAUGAGAAACAAAAAUGAUGGAGAAAACCAAAAAAGGGGACACAUGGGAUCCAGGCAAUAGGAGAGCCAGCAUAAGAGAGAGGCAGAGGGAUGCCCAGGAUGAGGUGAAGACGAUCUUGGAAAUCAGCCCAGAUGUGCAUGCACCAGUCCACGUGUGGCAGGACCAAGGGAAGUGUCUUCACAAAGAUGAGGCUUUGAUUUGUUGGAGAAACUGUUACCAGAAAAACAGGUCCCGAUCCCGACCCCAAAAGAGUAUUCUUGGAUCUUGCACAGGAAGGAAUUAAAGGUCUAGCUCUGUCUCCUCAGCACAUGUUCUAGGCUCUGACUGCAAGUGCUGACUUGGGCUCCCAGCCCCACACAGACCCUCUGUUCCAUGAAAGGGCCAUCUAUGCAAAGUGCCCCCCAAAUGCCAAAGGAGCCAAUAAACCAAGGAACAAGACA